CUGUGGUAGUUUCAUGUCACCAUCCUUGCCACUGGGGGCCUCUGUCCCAGGGACGGCCACAGGGGCCAAGGAGGAGCCUGGGGGGCUCCCAGCCUCGGGGGUGGGCACUGGUGCUCUCACCCCGGGCGGCCGGGGCCCUGAGAAGGUGGCUUCCUUGGGUUCCCGGGGUCUCUGCCCGCUGCUCCGUGCAGCACUGUCUCUGCAGGGCCACCGCUCGGUUCAGGGCAGCCGGAACCGCUCCAUGGCUCCAAACUCUAAAGGCAGCUGGUGGGGGUCACUGGAGGCUAAGGUGCUCGGCCGCUGGCAGGGGGGCCAGGGUCGGGCCCUCCGUCCGUCCUAGCGUACCCCAUCUGGUUUGCUCAGACCCCAUUCACACCCAGCGGAGGCCCCGUCACCGAGCUGGAGGUCGCGGAGGUGAGGGAGGGAGGCGUCUUCUCCCCUGCGGCCACCCGGCUGCUGGCCUGCGGCCCCAAUCGGAGGCAAAGGAUCAGGUCUGGAGUGAGGGCUCCUCUGGGUGCCCGCUGGGCCCGGGCAGUCAGCGGAGACUGGGCAUUGCCUGGAGGCGGUGAGGCCCGGCCCUUCCCUCCUGAAGACUCCCCAGCCCUCGUGCUGGGCUGGCCUUGCCCCCCUCAAUCACAGCCUCUGCCAGGCCAGCCUUACAGGCUCUGCCUUCUCGUCCCUGGAGCUUGGCCCUGAGCCGGACGCCCCGCUCUACCUGCGGCAGAGGGGCUGCGGGGGCCUUCCUGAGGAGACGGCCUCCAGAUCGCAGUGAGGAUGGGUCACCCUUCCAGGUCUGGGGGCGGUGCUGCCCUACCGUCUCUUUCCAGAAAAUCCUGAAGCCCCGCCCUCAGCCUCAGGAGUCACAGACGUCUGAAGAAGUCGGCUGCGGUGAGCUAACCGAGGGCUUGUAGGAACCGUCCGUCCUCUGACCCUACCCCAGGGCCAGACGGCGGCCGCGCCCCGAGCCCGGCUCUGCUGGCAGUGGGGAGCCGGGGGUCUAGCCUCGCCCCAGCAGCUGCCCUGAGGGCCCACGCGCCCACCGCCCAGCCGGACCUGGCCUGGCCUUCUGGUUCCUCCAGCCCCUGAGGGAAGAGCCGUGUCCCCAGCCUCACCCCCCGCGCUGACCCUGGGGGCGGCUCCUGCUCCCCAGCCCAGCAGGAACCACCAGAGACCGCCCCCAGCGUGCUUUCAGCUCAUUCCUUUAAUAAGGAGAUGCCGCUUAUUACAAAAGAACAUGUUGACAAGAGAUGAGACAAGAACAGAGUCCACAGGGCGGGGGGGUGGGUGCUGGACAUGGGUCCUUCCUGGGACGGGGAAGGCAGGGGUCCUGGUGGGGCUGCGCGUGCCAGGGGGCCUGGGGCCUGCCCGCCAUGCUCUUGCAGUCUUCAGACCCCAGGAUUUCAGAAGCAGCGGAUCCCGCCCUCGGAGAGGAAGCGCCAGGGCAGAACGUCUGGCUUCUCGGAAGGGGUCCUGGGGUCCCGAUGGCUGAGGGGGGCCCUACGCACCCCCGGCUCCCGCCACCCCCCCAGCACAAGGGGCCUGGCUCGUAGCGCACAGGGCCCACCUGCCCACCUGCGGCCUCGUCGGCGCUCCUGUCAGACCCCCUGCAUUUCCCCCUCCUCCCAUCAGGGCUGGCCGGAGGGGUCGCUCCCGUGCGUGGCGUUCCUCUGCACCGGGGCCUGCGGCUACUGUCCCUCCUGGUUCAGCGAGAUGGCUCGGGACCUGGGGCCCCCCGGCCCCCUUCCACCUCCCGCCCUCCCAUGGGACACCUGGCCGGGGCUGGGCCGGGGCGCUGGCGAGGGUCCCUCGUAGCCAGAGCCGCCCAGCCGCAGGAGAGAGCAUGCGGGGGAGCUUGGCCUACUGUGCUCUCCAGCCCCCGGGGUCCCUCCCCACUGCCACCCUUGGCCCCCCAAGCCCCCAGUGUCACGUGAGCAGGGCUGCUUGUCCACCCGGGCGGCAUCGGGGACCUGACCACAGACCUGGCCACCAACAGCUCCUGAGAACCCUCGUCGCCUGCACGGGGUACCCCCAUGGCCCAUCCACCCCCCCACGUGGAGUCGGACCGCAACACCAGGUGAGGGAGCCGGGCCAGCGGGGGCAUCUGCUGGGGCCCCACUGGGAGACCUGGACACCAUCCGUCCUCGCAACGUGGGGCUGGGAGCAGAGGUGACGAUGGUAUUGCAGCUCAAAGAAUGGGUAGAAUCCUGGUGACCUGUCCCUGCCCCGAGGCUCGGGGUGAGAGCGAGGCAGAAGUGGUCGCAGGACUGGCCUGCCAGACAGAGCAUGGACGGCGGGGCAGCCUGAGUUUCGGGUGAACUUUGGGAGUGAAAACGCACAGCCUGGAGGCCUCCAGAACCCCUCGUAGCCAACCUUAAUUCUGUCCCACUCAGGGCAGGAUCCCGACACCCCAGAAACGAGCCUGGUGGCAGUGAAGGUGCUCUGUGGACUGGCCCGGGCCCUAGGACCAGCCCACAGUCUUCGUCAGGUCCCAGCUUCUCGGCAUCAAGUGAAGAAUGACUUCCUGAGGACCAAGGGCCACGGGCAAGCCUGAGCCCCACUGCCCAGCUGCUGCUCCUGGAGGAGACGGCUUCUCACCAGCUGCCCGGCCGGGAAACGCAGCCGGGCAGGAACACAUGCCUGCUCCUUUCUGACAGUGAAAGAGACAUCCCUCUGCCUCAGGUGCCUGCAGACGCCAGGGGGGCUCGACGGGGUGGGAGGUGCUGCCACGGGUGCUGGGAAAGAGGCGCAGCUCCGGGUCUGGGAAGCCUUGAGUGUUCUGGGCCGAGGAGAGGGCCGGGGCCUGCAGCUGCAGAGACGAGGGCGGCUGAGGGGGGCUGCAUGCUCUCGCCCAGGCUGCAGGUUUGGAAGGAGACUCGGUGCACACUGGACUAACGUAUAUAUGGCUUUUUAUCGAUGCUGGGGACACGAGGUGAGCGGGGAACGAGCACAGUGACCGCGGGGCAGAACCCGGCCCACGUCCUCCGCCACCGCUCAGAAUGGCCGCCCUGCUCCUCGGGAUUCACAGCAAGUCCCUCGGGAGUGCUGGGCGGGGCCUCCCCGCAGGACCCCUGGGAAAACUCAGCUAGCUGUCCACUACCCUCCCCUCCUUACCUGGGCCUCAGGGGAGCUAAGAACCUGUAAACCUUCCUUUUCAAGCCCUCUGGCCCUGAACGGAUACCGUGUCUUCAGACAGCGCAGCUCCACUUUGAUUAAGGGAGAAGCACAGGCGGGAGGGGAAGAGAUGCCAGUGACUGCUGGCUUCCGUCCUAGAAAGGGAGCCGACAUCUGGGUCUCCCACCGCAAGGGCAAAGGCCCGGCAGUUUCAUUUUGGCCUUUCUGGGGAGCGGGUCUUCUGUUUCUUUGCGGUUUGACAUCACCCGUCAGCAAGGUGAGGUCGCGGGAUGGACAGUCCCCGUUCGAGUCCAGCCAGUCUAGCCUGUAGCUCAGGUCUGUGGUGUCCCGGGAAGCCCCCGGCAGCAGGAGGAGGUCCACGCCGGCACCGGGCUUUGGUCCUGGCUCUGCACAGUCCAGUCUCCCCGUCUCACCUCCCAAACAAACAGCCACUCCCACACAGCGUGGGAGUUCCCCAGUCUGAGCAGGGUUCUAAGCCCUCUGCUCCCACAAGGCACCCUGUCCGCGGCCCUCCACGAGCACAGGGGAUGCGCACACACGCACGGAUCCCUGGCCGCUGGCUGCCUUCCGUCAGGAGUCAGGAGGUGCUGCCAUUGCGUUGGUCCGGAACGCUCAGAAAACAGAAAAUGCCACCACUUUCUGCCAAGAGAGCCUCCCUCGGGGUAAGGGCUGGGCGGAGCUUUGGAGGAGGAGGGUGGCGGGCAUGCAGCGAGGAAGCUCCCGGGGCGACGACGGGCCAGGCUUCUCUCACCUCCGAGGGGCCCUCCUCAGCCGCCGUUGGAGGGAGGGGGUCUUUAGAAAGAGGACGAGGGCAGAGGAGCGAGGGCACGGCCGCACACGGGUGGGCAGGGACGCCUCGAGGGCUGCCCAGCUGAGGCAGCAGCGGCUCUGGCCGCGGCCCCUACUUGUUCUUGCCCAGCAGCGCGUCCACCUCCUCCUCGGGCUUGAGUGAGUGCCACUGGGCGAUGGGCCGGCGGGGGUUGGCCAGCAUGUCGGACCAGUGCCGCAGCUCCGUGCCCGUGGCGCUGCUGCCCACGAAGAUCUUGCCGAUGGCUUCGUUCUUGCCCAGCUUGUCGUAAUCCAGCACGGUGACCACCACCUGGACUUUCUGCAGGGGGCAAAGGGAAGGGCAGUGGGCAGGAGAAGGGCCCGGCGGCCGGCCCCUCCCUCCCCAGCUCUAACUGGGCGGGCGGGCACACAGAGGUGGGGCCCGUGCCUCUGGCGCAUCCUUCGCUUCUACCAACGACUGAACACAGGCCCCCGGCAGCGUGCUGAGCGCCUGGGAGCAGAAGGGCAGACGCAUCCUCGCAAGGUGACAAAGGUCACACCCGAGAGGCCAGCAGGAGGCACCUCGGGACCUCAGAGGGAGUGACGUCCGGCUGGUGAGUUAGGGCAGGCUUCACGGAGGAAGUGACCUGGACUGGGGGGUGGAGGGGCAGCAGGGGCAGGUGGGCGUCCACCGCCUCAGCGGCUGCAGCCUCUCCACACACACGCCCUGCCACCACCUCGCGGCCAAAAGGAGGUGUCUGUGAGCAGCUCCCGCUCACCUCCCCAGAAAAGGGGCGGGCUGGGAAGUGCCGGGCAUGGCCGGCCGGCCGUCUGUAGCAGUCAGUGGGGGAGGCCACCCGCCCCACGUCCACCCCUGCCAGCCCAGCACCUGGAUCUGCUCGAAGGGGAUCUCGAAGCUGAAGGACUCGUUGAAGUACGGGUUCAGGGUCUUCUUCUUCACUGUCGUCUUCUUCUUCUUGAGCCUCUUGCCGUUCUGCAUCAGGUGGAUCUUCACGUAGGGGUCUGUGCGGAGGCAGCCGGCAAGGCCCUGAGCACGCGCCCGGCCCGCCAGCCCAGGGACGGCAGAGCCAGCUUCCGGGCCAGGGCGGCCAGAGGCUUCACCUCUGGGACCCGCCAUGGCUGUGGCCGCCUGGAGCUCGGGGCUCUGCUGGGACGGGCCGGCGCUCAGUGAGGAGCCAGGGGGCCACUUGGUGGUGUCCGUCCUGGGCAGGGGGCACGUCAGCGACCCACCCCAUCCCAUCCUACCGACCUUGUCAAUGAGCAACGAGGCCCAGAGAAGGGCACCCGUCUGCCCGAGGUCACACGGGGGCUCAGGGACAGAGCUGGGCUGGCGGGAACCUGAGCAGUUCAGGAGGCCGGGCAGUCGCACCCCCCAGCCCCGCCCAGAGCCCCUUCCAAGGCAGGGCCACCCCCAUCUCCCCCGCCCCCGGUAGAAUGGCCCGCGUCAGGCCGAGCCCUCCCACCGCCUGCCCUCCCUGUCCCUGCCUCACCUGGGGGUGACGUCCCUGACCCCUUCCCUCCAGAGCCCACAGGGAGAGCAGCAGAAAGGCAGCUCUCAGCGGGGCUCCCCGCCCCGUCCUGCCCUGAGGACCCAAAGCCGCUCAGACAGCCUGUGUGUCCCGCGCAUCUGAGGCCUGCUAUCCAGGUCGAGGGCUCUGGGCCGCGACCGGCUGGCAGGUGCCCCCGAUGGCGGCCAGAAGCCACGCACACACCUGAAAGGCCACCCACGUCCAUCUUCUUGAGGUUCUUGGCCUCCAGGAUGCAGACGGUCCCUCCACUCCUCGAUGGGCUGCCCCAGGUCCACGGUGUUCAUGGGCACCUUCACCUCCCCGAUGAUGUCGUGUUUGGAGAAGCGGUCAAAGUCGUAGAUGGCCAUCACCAGGGUCUUGCCCCCCAGCUCCUGGAGGAAGACCUUGACAUAAGGGUCCGAGGUGCCGCCCAUGUCCAGGGCGGGCAGCUCCGCGGCCUGCAGGACGCCCACGCCGGGGUGCCCGCCCCGUGGAGCCUUGGGGGCCGCCCCCGCCCCGCACACCUGGUUGGCCUGGAAGUCGUAGUCCAGGGAGAACUGCAGCUUCCCCAGGUUCUCCGGCUCUUCGGCCUCGCCCUCGCCCUCGCCCUCCGUCAGGCCCGUCUCGGCGUCGUCAUCGUCCUGGGGGGCUGAGGAGGGGAGGGAGGGUCAAGGGGGGGAAGGCGGGGUGCCUGCCCCCGUGCAGACCCCAACCCAGAGCUGGAGGGGCUCCGUCGGGCCCCGCUUCCCCUCAGCCCCCAGCCCGGCCCUGUCCCUGCGGGGCCAGCACGGCCCAGAUGCCACGCGGCUUCUUGAGUGGCGGAGCCUCCCUGUGACCCCGCCCCGCCCCCAGCUCAGGCCACCACAUGGGCAGCACGUACCAGGCGUGCAGGCCGGGCGUCCAGGCCAGGCGAGUCCACAGGUGGGAAGAGAAGGGAGAGAGUGGUAAGAAAAUCCUGCAGCUCAGACCAGCCGCAUGGUAGGGCCGGGGCCCCCACAGGCUCACACGCACACGCACGUCCACGUGCGUGCUCACGCUCUCACACACGUGUGCACGUGCACGCGCAGACUCAAAGGCCACGGCCCCUGGCUGACCUCCUGAGAUCAGCCCUCCUUCCUUCCUCCACACUGAUUCCUUGAGCAAGAAAUUUCUCCCAGAACAAACGUGGGGAAAGUGAGGGGCCCGGGGCCUCUGCAAACUUAAAAGGAGACACAGGUACAUCAGGGCAUCUUCCAGGCUGCUCCCUGAAAGAUGGGGAGAAGAGCCACGUCCUUGUGGACGAGAGACGGCCCCACAGGGCCCCACAAUGAGGACAUGGUCCAGCAGCCCUGCCGGUGGGAAACCGGGUCACACGAUGGUGGCUUCCUGGUGGGCGGGGGUCUCUCUUCCCAGCAUUUUGUCCCAACGGCCUCCUUUUGGGUCAAUCAAGGACAGUCCCUGCUGACCUGAGCGAGCUCUUCCCACCUAGAGAGCAUCAAGGGGCCUCUGGUCACCCGGCCCCGCCUACCUGGCCACCCUUCAUGUCCUUCAUGUUCAUGGCGUUCUUGGCACCCUUGCCCUUCUCCUUCUUGUUCUUCUUCUUCUUCCAGCAGCACUUCUUGCAGAUGCAGAAGCAGCAGGCGAGGAGCAGAAGGCCCAGGAGCACCGCGAUGGCGCCCAGCGCCCAGGGGGGCACUGCCCACAGGGAGACGGGGUCAGCGGCGCUCAGGCAGCCCCGACCCCUCGGGGAUAGAAAGCUGGGUCGGGGCCUGGCCCUGCUGCUGCACCCCGCGUUGUAAACCCACGCUAAGUUGCAUGCUUCGAUGCCCUCCCCUUUCUGCCGCCCCAGCGGGGACAGCCUGUGACAGGGACAGCAGCCAGGUGCAUACCACGGGGCCCCCAUCUGGGCUCUGCUGAGAUCUGACAACUUUGACCCUUGGAACUGCGGGUCACACGAAGGAUGGGAGGGUCCUCAUCAGACCCCGGUGGGGUAGGAAGGCCCGGCCCUCAGGCGCAGUCCUGAGCGGGCUGAGCCUGCGCCAGGAGGCCGGGCUCAGAGGGCCCGCGGGUUUGGGGAAGUGCGGGGAGGGGCGGGCCGCGGGCCGGCCGGGGCUGCUCUCCGAGGUGCUGAAGCACCGCCUCCCACCAGUGGGGCUGCUCCCCGAAUCCGGACCUCGGGUUUCUCCCCACAGCCUUUACCAGAAAUCCAGGAAGCAGUAGGGGGUUUUAUUUUCUAUCUUGCAAAAUAAAGUA
Molecule: long non-coding RNA, 7661 nt
Organism: Orcinus orca (killer whale)
Lineage: Eukaryota; Metazoa; Chordata; Mammalia; Artiodactyla; Delphinidae
Exons: 7
Source: RefSeq, a predicted model, not a curated record